ACGAACGCUGGCGGCGUGCUUAACACAUGCAAGUCGCACGGAAAGGCCCUGCUUGCAGGGUACUCGAGUGGCGAACGGGCGAGUAACACGUGGGUGAUCUGCCCUGCACUUCGGGAUAAGCCUGGGAAACUGGGUCUAAUACCGGAUAGGAGCCAUUUUUAGUGUGAUGGUUGGAAAGUUUUUUCGGUGUAGGAUGAGCUCGCGGCCUAUCAGCUUGUUGGUGGGGUAAUGGCCUACCAAGGCGGCGACGGGUAGCCGGCCUGAGAGGGUGGACGGCCACAUUGGGACUGAGAUACGGCCCAGACUCCUACGGGAGGCAGCAGUGGGGAAUAUUGCACAAUGGGCGCAAGCCUGAUGCAGCGACGCCGCGUGGGGGAUGACGGCCUUCGGGUUGUAAACUCCUUUCGCUAGGGACGAAGCUUUUUGUGACGGUACCUAGAUAAGAAGCACCGGCUAACUACGUG
Molecule: ribosomal RNA, 464 nt
Filed under: uncultured bacterium
Lineage: Bacteria
Description: partial 16S ribosomal RNA
Rfam family: Bacterial small subunit ribosomal RNA
Source: RNAcentral